GCGGAGAUGGCGGAAUGGUAGACGCGUCAGGUUGAGGGCCUGAUGGGCUUAGGCUCAUGGGAGUUCGACUCUCCCUCUCCGCA
This 83-nucleotide transfer RNA is filed under the name Anaerolineales bacterium. RNAcentral describes it as "tRNA-Leu". It matches the Rfam family "tRNA". Rfam says of the family: Transfer RNA (tRNA) molecules are approximately 80 nucleotides in length. Their secondary structure includes four short double-helical elements and three loops (D, anti-codon, and T loops). The record is from RNAcentral. Lineage: Bacteria; Bacillati; Chloroflexota; Anaerolineae; Anaerolineales.